CCUACGGGUGGCAGCAGUCGAGAAUCAUUCACAAUGGGGGAAACCCUGAUGGUGCGACGCCGCGUGGGGGAAUGAAGGUCUUCGGAUUGUAAACCCCUGUCAUGUGGGAGCAAAUUAAAAAGAUAGUACCCCAAGAGGAAGAGACGGCUAACUCUGUGCGAGCAGCCGCGGUAAUACAGAGGUCUCAAGCGUUGUUCGGAAUCACUGGGCGUAAAGCGUGCGUAGGCGGUUUCGUAAGUCGUGUGUGAAAGGCGCGGGCUCAACCCGCGGACGGCACAUGAUACUGCGAGACUAGAGUAAUGGAGGGGGAACCGGAAUUCUCGGUGUAGCAGUGAAAUGCGUAGAUAUCGAGAGGAACACUCGUGGCGAAGGCGGGUUCCUGGACAUUAACUGACGCUGAGGCACGAAGGCCAGGGGAGCGAAAGGGAUUAGAUACCCCAGUAGUC
RNAcentral lists this ribosomal RNA (446 nucleotides) under uncultured bacterium. RNAcentral's name for it is "partial 16S ribosomal RNA". It matches the Rfam family "Bacterial small subunit ribosomal RNA", at positions 338 to 795 of the family's 1533-position model. The record is from RNAcentral.